AUGCUGCAGCUUAUCUGGAGCGGUGGGUGUGCUGGUUGCCCCCCCGGCCACAGCCAGACAGACCACACGAUAGCUGAGCUCAGCGUGUCUCUGUCUCAGUGAGGGCAAAUUGCCCGAGGACCUCCGUCCUCCAGAAGAUCUUCAUUGAUCUAUAGGUGCCUAAGACGGGGUCAAGCCUGCCUACCUGAGGGACCUAACUUGAGCUUAAAUUCCAGAAAGCUAGGGAGCCAGCCUUCUUCCAGUGUUUCUGCCCCUACCACAAGCAAUAGAAUAUCAUUGCUGCCUUUCUGAGACUAGAGACAGCAUCCGUGGCAGCGCAGAAUCCUCUUCUACGAGCAGUGACAUUGGCACAACGAAGAGCAGUUCUCCCUGCUACCAAUAACCAACCUCCCUUCAGAGGGCAAGCGGGUUUGCUUUGGGGAGAGCUCUUUGGAGCUAAGGCAGGAAAGGAGCUAACCGUGAAGAAGUGGGGACAGCUGAGACCUUGCGCUCAAGCUCACAUCCUUGUCUCCUUCCAGUAGUAGCAGCCCACCUUCAUACUUCCUAACGGCUCAAACAUGUCACAAGAUUAUACAAAUUCAAUGAAUUGUCACAAUCAGGAAGACUUUGCUGCUUACAGAACAACAAUUUUGGUCUGGUUAAAAUCAAUAUUUGCUGUUUUCUUUAUCAUCUGUGUUCUGAAAAACGCUUAAAUACAUGAUCAGCUUGAAGUUCACACUUAGCUUUUCCUAAAGUCAGUGAGGUAUUUCUUGAUAUAAGGCCUCCAUAUAAUUAGACACAGUUGAAGUACAGUUGCAGUCUCUUGAGACACUGUUUUUUGUAUGGCACAGAGGGUGUGCUGGACCCUUUACAAAUGUAAAUAGAGACACAGCCCAUGGCCUGGGGAAUUGUUGAACCAGCUCAGACUGACACAGAAAAGCCAUGAAAAACGUAAAUACUGGCUUCUGGUUCAACUCAAGAAUGGAGCAGACCUUGUGAAGAGAUUAGAAAGAUGCUCUGUUGUGUAGGACUGAAUAAGCCAGGCCCACAGCGUCAUAGAAAAGUCGGUUGGAAGAGAUGUCUGGAGGUCGCCUGGUCAUGCAGUCCAACCUCCCUCUCGAAGCAGGACUGCCACCAGUGCUAGAGCAGCCUUUAGUCUGAAGGAACGUUGGGAAAUUUUUUUCAUUGCUGUGCAUCACAGAGUAUCAUUACCCUUUAAAAAUCUUAUGUACAGCUUCUCCAGAAUUAUCCUGCACAUCAGGAUCAGGCCCAGGUGACUCACUAUACAUGAAAAAGUGCAAUUAUGAAGAUCAAAGUAAAGCCAAAACGAGAAGUCACUGGGCUUCACUGAGCUGCAAAAACACAGUCAAGAGUCAUUUUAGGUAGUAAAGGGUUAUCCCUGUAGCAUCCCGCUGCUGCUGCAGCAGGGUUCUGGUUUCCCAUAAGUCCCAUCAUAACUGUCUGUCACGUCUGCCAGCCCUGCAUAGAUGCCUCCUUAUGGUACCAGGGAAUCUCAACAAGACACCUAUAUUUAGGCACCUGAAUGAGCUCCACCGACUGUACUAAAUCGAUUUCAGCUGACUACAACAGGAGCUUACACAACAUGCCCUCAGAUAAACAUCUGCAUAUAGACACCUAUAGGAGCCAAAUCCUACCCUGAAUGGCAAGUCAGGAGGUUUCUGGAAGAAAAGGAGUUUUGAACACUGCUUGAAAGAACAGUAUGGUCAUCACCCAUCUUUAUUGUGGAGAUACAUAUCCCAUACCCUUCAUGUUUCAAAGGAAGUGAUUAGGAGGCCAAGCCGUAAGAGCCUGGACUCUCAGUCUG
Aquila chrysaetos chrysaetos is the source of this 1804-nucleotide long non-coding RNA. RefSeq lists it as uncharacterized. The transcript is spliced from 3 exons. Lineage: Eukaryota; Metazoa; Chordata; Aves; Accipitriformes; Accipitridae. The record is from RefSeq and is a predicted model, not a curated record.